GUUGUACAAGAAGGGGAAGCUCCUGAUUGAGAUCUUGAGAUGAAGUGCAGGGAGACUGGAGUCACAGACAUAUGAGAAAAGAGCUCUGUGUAUCACAGUCUCGAAAGGACUAACAACAGAAGUUCACAGCUUCAGGAAAUCAAACUGUUGGCAGAUUUCCCAUUUCAUUUGAACUUUCCAGGAUGAACCAGAUAACAGAUGGAACUGGGGGAGAAAGGACAAACAAAUGUGAACAGUACAAAAGGAACUGUCAGAUGCAUCAUGUGAGCUUGUGACUUGUCCCAGUGUUGAGUGUCUGUGUCACAAAUAGAAAUAUUAUCACCACAGUCCACAGUCACAGCAGAGAGAUGAAAGAAAGUUGAUGGCUUGGAAACUGGUGCUCCCUCAAGUACAUGGCUCCUUCACACAAGAAUAUUAACAGUGCAGUACAGCACUGAAAUUUCCACAAGUAUUUGAUAAGUAGUCAUCGUGAUACUCUGAAGCAGAAACAAAUCCUUUUCCCCCAGCACCCCUCUCC
Long non-coding RNA from Cuculus canorus (common cuckoo), 517 nucleotides. RefSeq lists it as uncharacterized. The transcript has 3 exons. The record is from RefSeq and is a predicted model, not a curated record. Lineage: Eukaryota; Metazoa; Chordata; Aves; Cuculiformes; Cuculidae.